AAAUGCAGCUACUUGAAUCCCACUCCAAGAAAGUCUAAUCAAAUAGUUCUGGUAUGGGGUCCAGGAAUCUGCAUUUUUAAAACAUUGCUGAGGAUUCUGAUACAGGGAAAC
This 111-nucleotide microRNA precursor is filed under the name Dasypus novemcinctus (nine-banded armadillo). Its description in RNAcentral is "miRNA (ENSDNOG00000035094.1)". Lineage: Eukaryota; Metazoa; Chordata; Mammalia; Cingulata; Dasypodidae. The record is from RNAcentral.